RNAcentral lists this ribosomal RNA (253 nucleotides) under uncultured bacterium. Its description in RNAcentral is "partial 16S ribosomal RNA". It matches the Rfam family "Bacterial small subunit ribosomal RNA", at positions 524 to 776 of the family's 1533-position model. The record is from RNAcentral.
UACGUAGGUGGCAAGCGUUGUCCGGAUUUACUGGGCGUAAAGAGCGCGCAGGCGGUCGUUCAAGUCGCGUGUGAAAGCCCCCGGCUCAACUGGGGAGGGUCACGCGAUACUGGUCGACUCGAAGGCAGGAGAGGGUAGUGGAAUUCCCGGUGUAGUGGUGAAAUGCGUAGAUAUCGGGAGGAAUACCAGUGGCGAAGGCGGCUUCCUGGCCUGUUCUUGACGCUGAGGCGCGAAAGCUAGGGUAGCAAACGGG